Molecule: long non-coding RNA, 1278 nt
Filed under: Sus scrofa (pig)
Lineage: Eukaryota; Metazoa; Chordata; Mammalia; Artiodactyla; Suidae
Description: lncRNA (ENSSSCG00070015149.1)
Source: RNAcentral
AUGGGCCACCUGCACAGGCUCAGUUCAGUCAUGUGUUUCCGUGUCCUGAGGCCUCAAGAGCACAGACGUACCUCACUGAGGACAAGGAUAAGAAACCAAUGUUUACCUAGCUUCACAAGUUGGGCUACAAUCUAUUUUUGAAUAAAAAGGAAUAUUAAAUUCCUUCUUGCUGCUAUUUUUCAGAUACUCCCAAGAGUUAAAAUACUAAUUGAAUGUUAAUUAAAACAUUACUUCUCAGUUUUCACUUAGAUUCUUUCACUUAUUAUAGUUUGUAAUCAAUAUUUUUCCAUGGGACUUAUUUACAAUCAUUUUUAUUUUGAGUAAAAAAUACGGCUUGUAAACAUUUCUCUUUUACCUGCGUAUAUGCACACACACUUUGAAAAAGAAAUCUCUGGAGUCCUCAUCAUGGCUCAGCAGAAACAAAUCUGACUAGCAACAAUGAGGAUGCAGGUUCGGUCACUGGCUUCGCUCAGAGGGUUAAGGAUCUGGCAUUGCCAUAAGCUGUGGUGUUGGUUACAGACGCAGCUUGGAUCUGGUGUUGCUGUGGCUGUGGUGUAGGCCUGGCCUAGGAACUUUCAUAUGCCACAGGUUCGGCCCUAAAGAAAAAAAGAAAGAGAAACCUGUCACUACUUAAGCUUUUGCUUUUAAAGCAUGAAUUGAACACUCAAACUGAACAUUUAAAAGCCAGAAAGCCUAUGUGGGGCUUACAAAGCCUUUCAUGGACUCCUCCUCAUCCUGGGAAGCCCAGGUUAGUAACACACCUGUGCACUGUUAGGAUCCCCACCAGUCAGUCAACUCCUCAGGUACAGGAACCAGGUUUUCAUGCAUAGUUCCAAGGCCCAGCCUGGUGUUGGCAUCCAAUAAUAGGCGUCCAAUCAAUUUUUAAAAUUGAAUAGAUUCAUAUAUCAGGCAUAGGUGGGAUUCACAUCUUCACAUGGACAAGAAUGUUGUAAUUAACAGGUUAGCCCACUAUUAUUUUACUAUAUGCAUAUAUACAUGUAAAUGUAUAUAUAUGCAUGUAUAUAUGUGUGUGUAAAUAUACACAUGCAUAUAUUUUUUUUAGUUUCUAGUUAAAAAGAAACUAAGAAACUCCAGACUCUGUAAGUACUCUGUUGUCUCUGUUGGAGCCAUGAGGGAAAAAUAAUGAUAUGGCACCUAAUCUCCAAAGAUGUCUCCCCCGAAACAUGCAUCCUAGAGUUCUUAUUCUGUGUAGGUGAUCCUAUAUUAAAUCAAAGCUGAGCAUGUAUGCAAUAAAGGGAUAACUCAGCAGGCUUGGCA